GGAACGGCGGCGCGCGGGCGGUUGGGCCAGCUCAGGCUUUCUGUGGACAAGGCUGUGCUUGGCGUCUUCGGAUGCUGCGGGUUGAAGGUAGUCAUGGCCGGGACCCCCGCACCGAACAGCCACAGGAAACAGAGUGGCGGCCUGGAGCCUUUCCCCGGUCUGUCUCGAUCCAUUGAGAACCCUCCGAGCAAGCGGGCCCGGAGCUUCUCUGAGACCACAGUCCCGGACCCCGAAGACCCAUUCGGUGAGCACGCGGAAUUUACUGCGGACGACCUAGAGGAACUCGACAUCCUCGCGUCACAGGCCCUGAGCCAGUGUCCCGUCGCGCCUCGGAACCUGUCCAGUGAGUGCCUGAGGGGCCUUUUCCCCCGGCGGGUGGUGCAGACCUCUGAUUUGGCGGUGAGACAUCCAGAAUGUUAAAUGGCCUCCCAUUUAGAUGGUGCUCAUAAGGUCCGCCGAUUAGAUGGGUUACCAAAUAGUCCUAUAAGGAAAAGCAGAGAAGAUAUUCCAGUUAAAGAUAAUUUUGAAUUAGAAGUACUUCAGAUACAAUACAAAGAACUUAAAGAAAAGCUGAAAGCAAUGGAAGAAGAAAUCCUAAUUAAGAAUGGAGAAAUUAAAAUUUUGCGUGACUCUCUGCGUCAGACAGAAUCCGUUCUAGAAGAACAGAAAAGAUCACAUUUCCUUCUUGAGCAAGAAAAGACUCAAGCACUCAGUGAAAAGGAAAAGGAAUUCUCCAGAAAGCUCCAAUCACUGCAGUCUGAACUGCAGUUUAAAGACGCAGAAAUGAAUGAGUUAAGGACAAAGUCUCAGAGCAACGGACGAACAAAUAAGCCAGCCGCUCCCUCCGUCUCCCACGUCAGUCCUAGGAAAGGCUCUUCUGUGGUUCUCAAGUCAGAAGCAUGUUCUCCACAUGUUGGAAAAACAACUUUCCCUACAAAAGAAUCUUUUAGUGCUAACACGCCUCUCUUCCACCCCUGUCAGACUGAGGCAGGACACAGAUUUCUGGUGGGCCAAGAGGUUUCAGAUAAUAAAAACCACAGUCUGGGAGGUAGCCUCAUGAAGCAAGAUGUGCAGCAGAGAAUUCUGGCUGAUGGCUGGAUGCAGAGAAAAGAUGCUCAAGGUUCUAUUUUGAUAAACUUGCUCCUGAAGCAACCUUUGGUGCCAGGGUCAUCUCUAGGUCUUUGUCACCUUCUGAGCAGUUGUCCUGAGGUUCCUACUGGCACCCUCUUGCAGCCACCAGGGCUCAGUACUUUGCCUGGGACUUCAGGCCUCAGGACCAUCAGUUCUUCUGAUGGGCCAUUUUCCCCCUCUGCCCUGAGAGAAGCACAGAACUUGGCAUUCACUGGAUUAAAUCUGGUUGCCAGGACUGAGAGCUCACAUGAUGGAGACAUGGCAGGCAGAAGAGUCUUCCCGCUCCACCAGCUUCCUGGAGCUGUGCAUCUCCUUCCUCUUGUGCAGUUUUUCGUCGGCUUACACUGCCAGGCUCUGCAAGAUUUAGCCCCAGCUAAGAAGAGUGGGGUGCCUGGGGACUCUGCGACACAUACCUCCUGCAUGAGCUCUGGGGUCGAGGCUAGCCCAGAGGACUCCAUUCAUGGCUUGGAGAGCUUUUCUGUGGCAUCACUCAGCGUCCUUCAGAACCUGGUGUGCCACAGUGGGGCAGUUGUCUGCCUGUUACUGUCAGGCAUGGGGACAGAAGCUGCCGCCAGGGAAGGAAACUUGGUCCAGACUUGUGCAGAUACAACCUCAGCCUCCAGGGAGGAUGCUCAUGACCAAGACCAGCACCCACUGCUAAAGAUGCUUCUUCAGCUGAUGGCUUCCUCCUCUGCAGCAUCAGGUCAUUUUCAAGCCAGUGUCCUGGGCCUGUGCCUCAAAGUUUUGGUGAAAUUAGCAGAAAACGCUUCCUCUGAUUUGUUGCCCAGGUUCUCCUGUGUGUUCCCGGUGUUGCCACAGUGCCUCGGCUCAGCGCUGCCGCUGCCCUGUGUGCUCCUGGCUGUUGAGCUGCUCUCUGUGCUGCUGGACCAUGACAGCCUAGCAUGGCAGCUAUGCUCCCACCCAGAAGGCUGCCUUCUCCUGAGGCUGUACAUGUACAUCACAUCAAGGCCUGACAGAACGGCCUCAGAGACACAGUGGCUUCAGCUGGAACAAGAGGUAGUAUGGCUCUUGGCCAAGCUGAGUGUACAGAGCCCUGCCCCCGCUGGCAUUGGUUCUGACUGUCACUGCAAUGUAGAGGCAGUCAGAGCGCUCACUGUGAUGUUGCACAGGCAAUGGCUGACGGUGCGGCGGGCAGGAGGUCCAAGGACCCACCAGCAGAAGCAGACGAUACGCUGUCUGCGGGACACUGUGCUGCUGCUGCAUAGCCUAUCUCAGAAGGACAAGCUCUUCACUGUGCACUGUGUCGAGGUCCUGCAUCAGUACGACCAGGUGAUGCCAGGGGUCAGCAUGCUGAUUCGAGCCCUUCCUGAUGUGACUGACUGUGAAGAGGCUGCCCUGGAUGACCUCUGUGCUGCGGAGACUGAUUUGGAAGACUCUGAGAUGGACUGUAACUGAGGGCCUGAGCAUCCAGCCACAAGGUGGCGCCAGCUCCCACCGCCGUCUUUGCCAUAUCCACUGAUUAAAACUGCACUUCCUGCUGAGAACACAAGCUUUGUUUCCUGAGUCCGAUUUGUGUGGCUGAGAGGGAGGGACAGGGCAGACCAAGAAUUGAUGAGAUGACUCCUGCUGGAGUUGAGAUGGCCCCCAUGGUAACUGAUCUGCCCUGAGGAAAAACCCUGCCCCUCUUCGGGAAUUACCCUGAGUCAUAGCUUUGGGCGGGGGCCGUGGUGGGGGCAGGGGUACGUUUGUGGCCAAGGAGGCAGCCCUUUUUAGGAAGGCCUGGAUCAAGGACUGGGGGAAAGACAAGAAAAGGCAGAGGCUCACGGGCACAUUUGAAUCCUAGAGACAACCCAGUUUGAGUUGUCAGUGUUGGGGCAGUAGUCCAUUUUACCAGCCAGCAGGAUCACAGAUAUGGAUCUAGGAAGGCCUUUGGGGUGCUUGGGGAGGGAGGGAGGAGCGUCAGCACGAGGGCCAGGCCUGGCAGGCUAACAGCAGGGCGGGCCCUGUUCAGGAGGCAGGCCUAUGGGUGGACCCAGGCAGUUUUACUUCCUCAGCCACACUGCUGCCAGCAGCAGACCCAGCGGAGUGCCUUGCUGCCUGCUUCUCGGUUCAGCAUGGGCUCACAGACCCUGCCCCAUGGUCACAUGCAGACCCUCAUCUUCUUAGACCUGGAAGCCACUGGCCUGCCUUCGUCUCGGCCCGAAGUCACAGAGCUGUGCCUGCUGGCUGUCCACAGACGUGCUCUGGAGAACACUUCCAUUUCUCAGGGACAUCCACCUCCAGUGCCCAGACCGCCCCGUGUGGUGGACAAGCUCUCUCUGUGCAUUGCUCCAGGGAAAGCCUGUAGCCCUGGGGCCAGUGAGAUCACAGGUCUGAGCAAAGCUGAGCUGGAAGUACAGGGGCGUCAACGCUUCGAUGACAACCUGGCCAUCCUGCUCCGAGCCUUCCUGCAGCGCCAGCCACAGCCUUGCUGCCUUGUGGCACACAACGGUGACCGCUAUGACUUUCCUCUGCUCCAGACAGAGCUUGCUAGGCUGAGCACUCCCAGUCCCCUAGAUGGUACCUUCUGUGUGGACAGCAUCGCUGCCCUAAAGGCCUUGGAACAAGCUAGCAGCCCCUCAGGGAAUGGUUCGAGGAAAAGCUACAGCCUGGGCAGCAUCUACACCCGCCUGUACUGGCAAGCACCGACAGACUCACAUACUGCUGAAGGUGAUGUUCUAACCCUGCUCAGCAUCUGUCAGUGGAAGCCACAGGCCCUACUGCAGUGGGUGGACGAACAUGCCCGGCCCUUUAGCACCGUCAAGCCCAUGUACGGCACUCCGGCUACCACUGGAACAACCAACCUAAGGCCACAUGCUGCCACAGCUACUACACCCCUGGCCACAGCCAAUGGAAGUCCCAGCAAUGGCAGGAGCAGGCGACCUAAGAGUCCUCCUCCAGAGAAGGUCCCAGAAGCCCCAUCACAGGAGGGGCUGCUGGCCCCACUGAGCCUGCUGACCCUCCUGACCUUGGCAAUAGCCACUCUGUAUGGACUCUUCCUGGCCUCACCUGGGCAGUAAGUCAAGAGGGGAAAUAUGAUGAAUAAAGACUUCCAUAGCACUGAAAAAAAAAAAAAAAAAAAA
This 4214-nucleotide long non-coding RNA is filed under the name Mus musculus (house mouse). RNAcentral's name for it is "predicted gene, 53191 (Gm53191)". The record is from RNAcentral. Lineage: Eukaryota; Metazoa; Chordata; Mammalia; Rodentia; Muridae.